This 640-nucleotide ribosomal RNA is filed under the name Bifidobacterium pseudolongum subsp. globosum. Its description in RNAcentral is "bacterial SSU rRNA". It matches the Rfam family "Bacterial small subunit ribosomal RNA", at positions 35 to 672 of the family's 1533-position model. The record is from RNAcentral. Lineage: Bacteria; Bacillati; Actinomycetota; Actinomycetes; Bifidobacteriales; Bifidobacteriaceae.
ACUGGCGCGUGCUUAAACAUGCAAGUCGAACGGGUAUUCCCUGGCAGCUUGCUGCCGGGGUGAGAGUGGCGAACGGGUGAGUAAUGCGUGACCGACCUGCCCCAUGCACCGGAAUAGCUCCUGGAAACGGGUGGUAAUGCCGGAUGUUCCACAUGAGCGCAUGCGAGUGUGGGAAAGGCUUUUGCGGCAUGGGAUGGGGUCGCGUCCUAUCAGCUUGUUGGUGGGGUAACGGCCUACCAAGGCGUUGACGGGUAGCCGGCCUGAGAGGGCGACCGGCCACAUUGGGACUGAGAUACGGCCCAGACUCCUACGGGAGGCAGCAGUGGGGAAUAUUGCACAAUGGGCGCAAGCCUGAUGCAGCGACGCCGCGUGCGGGAUGGAGGCCUUCGGGUUGUAAACCGCUUUUGUUCAAGGGCAAGGCACGGUUUCGGCCGUGUUGAGUGGAUUGUUCGAAUAAGCACCGGCUAACUACGUGCCAGCAGCCGCGGUAAUACGUAGGGUGCAAGCGUUAUCCGGAUUUAUUGGGCGUAAAGGGCUCGUAGGCGGUUCGUCGCGUCCGGUGUGAAAGUCCAUCGCUUAACGGUGGAUCCGCGCCGGGUACGGGCGGGCUUGAGUGCGGUAGGGGAGACUGGAAUUCCCG